Molecule: ribosomal RNA, 753 nt
Filed under: Enterococcus sp. S123_ASV_20
Lineage: Bacteria; Bacillati; Bacillota; Bacilli; Lactobacillales; Enterococcaceae
Description: partial 23S ribosomal RNA
Rfam family: Bacterial large subunit ribosomal RNA
Source: RNAcentral
UUUGAGCAAUGGAGGGACGCAGUAGGCUAAGGAAUGCAUGCGAUUGGAAGUGCAUGUCCAAGCAAUGAGUCUUGAGUAGAGUUAAAUGCUUUACUCUUUAAGGACAAGUUGUGACGGGGAGCGAAAUAAUAGUAGCGAAGUUCCUGAUGUCACACUGCCAAGAAAAGCUUCUAGUGAGAAAACAACUGCCCGUACCGUAAACCGACACAGGUAGUCGAGGAGAGUAUCCUAAGGUGAGCGAGCGAACUCUCGUUAAGGAACUCGGCAAAAUGACCCCGUAACUUCGGGAGAAGGGGUGCUGACUUCGGUCAGCCGCAGUGAAUAGGCCCAAGCGACUGUUUAUCAAAAACACAGGUCUCUGCAAAAUCGUAAGAUGAAGUAUAGGGGCUGACGCCUGCCCGGUGCUGGAAGGUUAAGAGGAUGGGUUAGCUUCGGCGAAGCUCAGAAUUGAAGCCCCAGUAAACGGCGGCCGUAACUAUAACGGUCCUAAGGUAGCGAAAUUCCUUGUCGGGUAAGUUCCGACCCGCACGAAAGGCGUAACGAUUUGGGCACUGUCUCAACGAGAGACUCGGUGAAAUUUUAGUACCUGUGAAGAUGCAGGUUACCCGCGACAGGACGGAAAGACCCCAUGGAGCUUUACUGUAGUUUGAUAUUGAGUGUUUGUACCACAUGUACAGGAUAGGUAGGAGCCGAUGAGACCGGAACGCUAGUUUCGGAGGAGGCGCUGGUGGGAUACUACCCUUGUGUUAUGAA